CCUACGGGAGGCAGCAGUGAGGAAUAUUGGUCAAUGGGCGAGAGCCUGAACCAGCCAAGUCGCGUGAAGGAUGACGGCCCUACGGGUUGUAAACUUCUUUUGUCAGGGAGCAAUUGGGUCCACGCGUGGGCUUAGCGAGAGUACCUGAAGAUAAAGCCUCGGUUAACUCCGUGCCAGCAGCCGGGGUAAUACGGAGGAUGCGAGCGUUAUCCGGAUUUAUUGGGUUUAAAGGGUGCGAAGGCGGAAUAUCAAGUUGGCGGUAAAAAUUUGGGGCUCAACACCGUCGUGCCGUUGAAACUGAUGUUCUUGAGUGGGCGGGAGGUAGGCGGAAUGCGUGGUGUAGCGGUGAAAUGCAUAGAUAUCAAGCAGAACUCCGAUUGCGAAGGCAGCAUACCGGCGCGCAACUGACGCUGAAGCACGAAAGCGUGGGUAUCGAACAGGAUUAGAUACCCCGGUAGUC
Molecule: ribosomal RNA, 460 nt
Filed under: uncultured bacterium
Lineage: Bacteria
Description: partial 16S ribosomal RNA
Rfam family: Bacterial small subunit ribosomal RNA
Source: RNAcentral